RNAcentral lists this ribosomal RNA (496 nucleotides) under uncultured bacterium. Its description in RNAcentral is "partial 16S ribosomal RNA". It matches the Rfam family "Bacterial small subunit ribosomal RNA", at positions 28 to 507 of the family's 1533-position model. The record is from RNAcentral.
GAUGAACGCUGGCGGCGUGCCUAAUACAUGCAAGUCGAGCGAACAGAUGAGGAGCUUGCUCCUCUGACGUUAGCGGCGGACGGGUGAGUAACACGUGGAUAACCUACCUAUAAGACUGGGAUAACUUCGGGAAACCGGAGCUAAUACCGGAUAAUAUAUUGAACCGCAUGGUUCAAUAGUGAAAGACGGUUUUGCUGUCACUUAUAGAUGGAUCCGCGCCGCAUUAGCUAGUUGGUAAGGUAACGGCUUACCAAGGCAACGAUGCGUAGCCGACCUGAGAGGGGGACCGGCAAACUGGGAACUGAGAAACGUUCAAGACUCCUACGGGAGGCAGCAGAAGGAAUCUUCCGCAAUGGGCGAAAGCCUGACGGAGCAACGCCGCGUGAGUGAUGAAGGUCUUCGGAUCGUAAAACUCUGUUAUUAGGGAAGAACAAAUGUGUAAGUAACUAUGCACGUCUUGACGGUACCUAAUCAGAAAGCCACGGCUAACUACGUG